RNAcentral lists this ribosomal RNA (411 nucleotides) under uncultured bacterium. RNAcentral describes it as "bacterial SSU rRNA". It matches the Rfam family "Bacterial small subunit ribosomal RNA", at positions 64 to 507 of the family's 1533-position model. The record is from RNAcentral.
GCACGAGAAAGUGGAGCAAUCCAUGAGUAAAGUGGCGCACGGGUGAGUAACACGUGAAUAAUCUACCUCCGAGUGGGGAAUAACCUAGAGAAAUCUGGGCUAAUACCGCAUAACACUUACGAGUCAAAGCAGCAAUGCGCUUGGAGAGGAGUUCGCGGCCGAUUAGCUAGUUGGCGGGGUAAUGGCCCACCAAGGCGAUGAUCGGUAUCCGGCCUGAGAGGGCGCACGGACACACUGGAACUGAAACACGGUCCAGACUCCUACGGGAGGCAGCAGUGGGGAAUUUUGCGCAAUGGGGGAAACCCUGACGCAGCAACGCCGCGUGGAGGAUGAAAUCCCUUGGGAUGUAAACUCCUUUCGAUCGGGACGAUUAUGACGGUACCGGAAGAAGAAGCCCCGGCUAACUUCGUG